GAUGAAGAACGCAGCGAAAUGCGAUACUUGGUGUGAAUUGCAGAAUCCCGUGAACCAUCGAGUCUUUGAACGCAAGUUGCGCCCGAAGCCAUUAGGCCGAGGGCACGCCUGCCUGGGCGUCACACGUCGUUGCCCCCCCAUCUACUCCUUCGGGAUUGCGGGGGGCGGAUGAUGGCCUCCCGUGCGCCUCGCCGCGCGGUUGGCAUAAAUGCCAAGUCCUCGGCGACGCACGCCACGACAAUCGGUGGUUGCGAAACCUCGGUUGCCCGUCGUGUGCGGUCGUCGCGCAUCGAGGGCUCGAAAAAAUUGCAGGGUUCCGGCUCGGCUUUCAACGCGACCCCAGGUCAGGCGGGGUUACCCGCUGAAUUUAAGCAUAUCAAUAAGCGGAGGA
RNAcentral lists this unclassified non-coding RNA (391 nucleotides) under soil metagenome. RNAcentral describes it as "partial contains 5.8S ribosomal RNA, internal transcribed spacer 2, and large subunit ribosomal RNA". The stretch from base 1 to 122 matches the Rfam family "5.8S ribosomal RNA", at positions 35 to 154 of the family's 154-position model. The record is from RNAcentral.